UACGUAGGGGGCAAGCGUUAUCCGGAUUUACUGGGUGUAAAGGGAGCGUAGACGGCUGUGCAAGUCUGGAGUGAAAGGCAUGGGCUCAACCUGUGGACUGCUUUGGAAACUGUGCGGCUUGAGUGUCGGAGAGGCAAGUGGAAUUCCUAGUGUAGCGGUGAAAUGCGUAGAUAUUAGGAGGAACACCAGUGGCGAAGGCGGCUCUCUGGUCUGUAACUGACGCUGAGGCUCGAAAGCAUGGGUAGCGAACAGG
Molecule: ribosomal RNA, 253 nt
Filed under: uncultured Lachnospiraceae bacterium
Lineage: Bacteria; Bacillati; Bacillota; Clostridia; Lachnospirales; Lachnospiraceae
Description: partial 16S ribosomal RNA
Rfam family: Bacterial small subunit ribosomal RNA
Source: RNAcentral